AGUGGCGGGGGGAGAAAGUAAACACAGCCGGCCGGCCCUGCCCGCGGACCGGCCGGGGCGGGAGGGGCUCCGCGCCUGACGUGAUGGGCCCCGGCGCGGCCGCCCCCGGGCAGGAGCACGCGGGGCGCGGGGCGGGCGGCAUCCUCUCCCCCGGCCCCUGCGCCGGACUCGGGCCGGCCGCGCGGGCGGCGCUCCCCCCUCGCCGACUGCGCGCCGCCCCCGGGGGGCGGCGGUGAAGGACCUGCCCGGCGCCCCGCUAUUUAUUCGCCCCCCACGCCCCCUUCCUCCUCCGCCCCGCUCUUUCCCGCGCCGCGGGCGGGCCAUGGCUGGCGGCGGCGCGGUCGGCCCGGCGGACGAGCAGUGAGGGUGGACGGAGCCCCACUUGUCGUCGGGGCGCGGCCGCACCAUGUCGGCCGUCGCGUACGUGGACUUCGUAGCGGCGCAGUGCCUGGUCUCCAUCUCCAACCGCUCCGCCGUGCCCGAGGCGGCGCGGCUGAAGGUGCCGGGCGAGGGGGAGGCGGCCCGGGAGCUGCGCGACCCCCGCGACGCCUGGAAGGACUACUGCGCCCUGCUGGCCAUCGCCAAGAGCCUGCUGGAGCUGAACAAGUACCGGCCGCUGCCCGCCCCCUCCGUCUGCAGUGACAGCGUGGAGAGCCCCGACGAGGACGCGGGCUCCGACAGCGACGCGGCCACCGAGCAGGGUUCCAGCCCGCCCCGCAGCCCCCCGCCGGGGCCGCCCCCCCGCCUGCGCGCCGCCGGGGCCGCCCCUAAGGGGAAGCUGGCGGCCGAGAAGCGGCACAAGUGCCCCUACAGCGGCUGCGGCAAGGUCUACGGCAAGUCUUCCCACCUCAAGGCGCACUACCGGGUGCACACAGGUGAGCGACCAUUCCCCUGCACGUGGCCCGACUGCCUUAAGAAGUUCUCCCGCUCUGACGAGCUGACACGGCACUACCGAACCCACACCGGCGAGAAGCAGUUCCGCUGCCCGCUCUGCGAGAAGCGCUUCAUGCGGAGCGACCACCUGACCAAGCACGCCCGCCGCCACACCGAAUUCCACCCCAGCAUGAUCAAGCGAUCCAAAAAGUCCAGCUCCAGCAGCUCCUUGUGAAGGCAGGGCUGGCCCUGGGUAAGGAGUGGAGAAGAGGCAGGCUGUGGCGAGGGUGCAGGCAGUGGUGCCAGAACACGAGCAUCCACUGCGGUGCCGGUCACCCUUGCUGUCCAAAAGCACAUGUAGCCGGCAUUAAAAAAACACGUACUCAGUAUCCCCCUCCCCAUCUUCCACCUCCUGGCUCUGCCCUGAGAACAGUCUGGAACAAGUGGACUGUGGGGUGAGAGGAGGGAAGGGGCAGCCAGGGAGAACCACCUCUUCCAAUGUAAUGUGUUGAUACUGGUGUACAUACAUGUGACUGGGCGGUCUGGCCUGUGCCACCACAGUAGCAUGACCCCAAAGUCUUUGUGAUUGCUGUGUCAUGAACAUGUUUUGUUGAACAGUGUAAUGCUGCUUGUAUUUAGAGUCUGUCGAGUAAAAACACUUUCCGAGUCACGUAAAUAACUCAGAUAAAAACUCCAUAGCACAUUGUAGAAGUGGGUUUACUUCUGUGUAUCUUCUGCGAUCCUGCACUUAAAGAGACUAUUAAGAGAAACAGUACAUAUGUUACCAAUAGUAUCUGACUGAUAUAGUGAGAUAAGGUGAAUUUAUACUCAAUAAGGCCCAUUAAAGUAAAUAGGUAUUUUUAACUUUUCUUUGUAUUAACUAUACUUUUGAAUAUCAGCUGGACUUUUCCAGUAAAAACAUGUAUGGUUCAAGAAAAUACUUAAAGCAAAAAAAUCCCCAUAAAGAGCUCAGUAAUUUUCUGACUGUGUGUGUAUUUAGCUCUGUUACUCACUUACCUGGAAAAAUUCAGCUCAGCCUCGAUAAUGUGGCGGGCAUGUGGGAGCUGAAGCAUAUGUCUCUCAUAUGAUCCCAUACUUUACUUGUCAGUAAUAUAGUACUGUACUACAGAAAUGCCACUAACAGUGCUUUAUUCUGCUGUGGUUUGUUUGAACGGGUGCACAAAGCAGCUACCACCUUUACAAACUGCUGCUGUUUUAAAGGCUUUUUCUCUUCCUACACUUGCCUUAAAGAUUUAUUCUCUUCAUACCAUGGCCUAACUCCCUUGGAGUCCUAUGGGAAUUGUGUGUGCUUAUGGAGAGAGUAGACCUUUUCUUAAGAGCACUCUGAUAACGGAAACACCUAAAAUUACUGUAAGGAGCACUUCGGAAGGGCUCCUGUAUCUCUUGAUUGCUCUUUCUCUGGAGUAUGGGGGAAUACCACACGCUAAUUUGAAAUACAGAAGGUGUCCUGCAAUACUCCUUUAGAACAUAAGCUUCUCUUAGUACUUUGUACCUGUGUCAUGCAUGGCACAUCAAAUGGUGAUAAAAGCAAUGUUAACUUUUAUUUUAAAGCUAUUUUUUUUAUCUUUAAAAGGAGCAGAAAGACCACUGAAUGAAAACUUCUAGAUGUGAUCAUUAGUGAAUAUUUCAAAUAUUUUUAUGUUAAAAGCGUGAAAUUUAAGAGGUUAUCAGUGAUAUAUUUUUUCCCCUCCCCAGCUGCAUAAUGGGGGAGAAUCUGUUUACACAUUAUUUUUUCCAGAAAUGUUCUUCUGUUUGGUUUUUACCCCUUCCUCCAGAAGAGGAAGGGGAGGUGCAGCCCUACUAGAGACUUAGGGCCAAAUUAAUUUUGUGAGUACUUACACUGAAACCCAAAGUGUCUCCACUGCAGAUGAAUUUAGGUCAUCUUGUAAAAUUUUGUAUAUAAAAGAUCUUGUUAGCACACCUGCAAUUACAGUAUCUUAUUGUUUUAUCUGAUAAAAAGCUUGCUUCCUAGAAACAAACAUAAAAAAUUAACGUGGAGAGUAGAGUGUUUUCCUCUACAGUUGUAUAUGGCUUUCAGCAUUAGAAAUCAGUUCGCAUACUGUGUUUUUACCUGUGUAGAGUUCAUGAUAGAUUUCGUCUAUGUGAAGAGAACUUCUUUUAAAGCAUUGGGGAUAUUGAACAGUCUAUGGAAUAAAAAGGGAUGUGUUUUCUUCAGUGAAGACAUCAGGAAACCAAGCACACUUUCUACCUCCGUUUCAGCUUUUUGAAACAUUUAUUUUAGAAACCAAACUUUAAUUUCUCGUAUUCAGAUUGAGUUAUAGGGACAUAGGUUCUUUAUAAUAAAACCUGGUAGUGUUGGUGUUUUUAUUGAUCAAGAUAUACAGAAAGUAUUCUGCUUACUAGUACUGUUAAUGCUGCCUUGUGGAGUAGGGUCAGGGCCAUGAGCAGCCCGAUGAGAUUCAAAGGUGCAUCUUUGUUCAUCUUUGUUCUUCUCUCCGAAGAUCAAGCUAGAUUUCAAGUCUCCAUCCUGCAGUCUGGAUUGCUGCCAUUUUGUGGGACAAAUACAGCACUUGGAAAAUUAAAGCCCGAUCCUGUGAAAUACAAGACAUCCUCACAUCCAGUCAACCACAACUAGAAGCCACAGCUGAUAAGCAGCUUCUAAAUCAGGUGUUUUCCCAGGCAUUCCUUCUUCCGAUACAGCAGGGAGACAGAGACAAAACUUGUACUCAGGAAAAAGUGUCCCAUCACCUGCAUGCUCCAGCUCCCAAGAAGUCUGGCUCCCACUGCUCCAUGGCUUUUGAGCUCAGAGUGGUGCUCUCCCUCACUCUGUGCAGCUGCUGAGUAGAAAAUGAGGCUUCAGCCACACUGUGGACUCUGCAGACACACUGCUGCCUUGAGCUUUCCAUGGCUUUGGAGGGUUCACUGGUGUACAGAGAUAAAAAGCAUCUGCUCGACUCUGAAAGGGAAUGGCAAGGUACCCUGUGCCAAAAAGCUCCCCGACAUGCACAAUCACGGGCAUCACAGUUACUGAAAGCACCCACUUACAGGAACUUAACCAGGUGCAGGGGCACAGGGCUUGGAUAUGACUGCAAGAUGAGCCCUGGACCCAAGGGAACAUGUAACCUUCCAGCAAUGCAGGUAGGGACAUAUGGGUGGAAGAUUGCCAUCUGCAGCUGGAACAAAACUUGUAAGUAGCUUCCAAAUUUUACUCAAUGCUGAGUUGGAGUUUUCUCUUCUUGUGUUGGAUGGCUAAAGGACAGAUAAAAAAACCUGCGCAUAAUGUUUUCUUUUUUCAGCUUGUCAUUGAUUUUAUGAAUAAGAGAGACAGGGCUGUGGCACUGGCUUCAUUCCCUUGCAAUCUCAUCAUAAAAGACUUUCCACAAAUUUACCAUUCUUUAUCUUAAACCUUUUAAUAUUUGGUUUUAGUUCUGUAAUUUGAACAGCUACCAAAAGCUGUGUAGUGUAGAGGAGGCUUUAGAAGGAGGAUUCCAACCACUGAGAUGCAGUACAGAGGGGUCUUGCCAGGAGUGGUAUAAAUUUUGACUAGGAAUGGGUACAUCAUGCAAAGUCUUGGGUGCACCAUGGAGGCAUUGACAGUUGGCAUGGGGAAGUGUGACCCUGAACACAGACCUGCUCAUUCUGAGAGCAUGGUUUCUACAAGGUUGUAAGGGUAUUCUGUAUUUUCAUUUUUCCUUUCUGCCAAGGAUAAAAGAAAGGAAACAUGCCAUAAAAUGUCUUAACAGUCUAGUUAAAUGACUGUAGAGUGGUUCAGAAAGCUGCUUACAAGGAAGCAUGGCUUUCUGAAUCUGCCUGCUGGUUGACCUGGAUAAUUUUGAUCUCCACAGGACUCUAUAACAAUGUGGUUCAGCACUCACUCUUCCAGGCUAAAGAGUCUGUGAGGUUUUAUUUAUGCAUCAGAGCUUUGUAACAACCUCUACUUUCUCAAUAACUUGUUUUGGAAACAAAACUUUCAGACUGAGCUCCUCACACUGUUCAGCCACAUUGGAAAAAUUUCUUCAGCAGUAAUUUAAUACAAAUGCCCAAUUGUCAGAACACUGUACUUACUCAAGUACUGUUUAUGGGACUCCCUUAAAGGAGAGGAAGCUUUCCCAAUGGGAAGAAUUUUUCAGCUACCAGGCUUUCGCUGCCAUGCUGUCCUCAGCUGAGAAACUCUCAGACCCCCAAAAACACCUCCUCAAACACUUCCACAGGUAUUGUGGAAAUCUUCCUGUUUCAAAGAGAUGAUCUUGACUGACAUCAGUUCUAAUCCUUAACAGACACUUAUUUCUGUAUGAUUACACACAUUAUUUUUCUGGCUCAUCCACGCUUUUGGGUAAAUUAGAGUCCCUAUUGCUUUCAGUUUGUAUUUUUGAAAUUGCUCCAACUAUUGCUGUAUUUUUACUGGCUUGUGACCUUCAACUGAUAAUUGAUAAACAUCCUAUCACUUCUCGUA
This is an RNA transcript of Pyrgilauda ruficollis (rufous-necked snowfinch), 5308 nucleotides long. It is a transcript of the gene named Kruppel like factor 9, with no coding region annotated. The record is from RefSeq and is a predicted model, not a curated record. NCBI's taxonomy places the organism in Eukaryota, Metazoa, Chordata, Aves, Passeriformes, Passeridae. The transcript is spliced from 3 exons.